Molecule: ribosomal RNA, 492 nt
Filed under: uncultured bacterium
Lineage: Bacteria
Description: partial 16S ribosomal RNA
Rfam family: Bacterial small subunit ribosomal RNA
Source: RNAcentral
AGUGAACGCUGGCGGUAGGCCUAACACAUGCAAGUCGAACGGCAGCACAGUAAGAGCUUGCUCUUACGAGUGGCGAGUGGCGGACGGGUGAGGAAUACAUCGGAAUCUACUUUUUCGUGGGGGAUAACGUAGGGAAACUUACGCUAAUACCGCAUACGACCUACGGGUGAAAGCAGGGGAUCUUCGGACCUUGCGCGAUUGAAUGAGCCGAUGUCGGAUUAGCUAGUUGGCGGGGUAAAGGCCCACCAAGGCGACGAUCCGUAGCUGGUCUGAGAGGAUGAUCAGCCACACUGGAACUGAGACACGGUCCAGACUCCUAAGGGAGGCAGCAGUGGGGAAUAUUGGACAAUGGGCGCAAGCCUGAUCCAGCCAUACCGCGUGGGUGAAGAAGGCCUUCGGGUUGUAAAGCCCUUUUGUUGGGAAAGAAAAGCAGCAGGUUAAUACCCCGCUGUUCUGACGGUACCCAAAGAAUAAGCACCGGCUAACUUCGUG